This 117-nucleotide non-coding RNA is filed under the name Pan paniscus (pygmy chimpanzee). RNAcentral also lists the same sequence under 1 other name. The record is from Rfam by way of RNAcentral. Lineage: Eukaryota; Metazoa; Chordata; Mammalia; Primates; Hominidae.
GCUGGGCAUGGUGGCUCAUGCCUGUAAUCCCAGCACUCUGGGAGGCUGAGGUGGGCGGAUCACUUGAGGACAGGAGUUCAAGACCAACCUGGCCAACAUAGUGAAACCCCAUCUCUA